Carica papaya (papaya) is the source of this 4935-nucleotide long non-coding RNA. RefSeq lists it as uncharacterized. The record is from RefSeq and is a predicted model, not a curated record. Lineage: Eukaryota; Viridiplantae; Streptophyta; Magnoliopsida; Brassicales; Caricaceae.
AAGAUGAACCGACCCGAACAGUUCGUGACUGGUUCGUUUGCAAACCCCAUAGUCCCCAACACACAAACCAGGCGAACUCAGCAAACCCUAGCAACCCAGAACACAGUAAAACACAUCUCCUAGGAUGAGAUGUAAUGGCGGCGAGUGUAGGGAUUAUGUUUCAACUACAAUGAGCAGUUCUCUGCGGGCCAUCGAUGCUGCAAACUGCAGCUACUACUUCUCGAAAGAGGAAGUUUUUGAAAAAAAGAAGUCGAGGUAGAGGACCCAAAAAUCUCUCUCCACGCCCUCACCGGAUGGUCCAUAACCUGAACCAUGAAAGUACUAGCUUUCAUUCGAUGGUAAAAAGUCAUCGCCCUCAUCAACAGUGGGUUUACCCACAAUUUUAUCAGUGACUAAAUUACAGGCCGUUUAUAGCUCCAUAUGAUCCCGAUGCCUAGAUUUUCGGUCAAGGUGGCUAACGGGGAUCUAAUAAAAUGCUUCAGCCACUUCGAGCACAUGCCAAUCUCCCUUCAAGAUGUGGUGAUUAUGUGGCCUAGGUGCCCCGCCACUCUAGGUGGCUUCAUUGGAGGAACUUAGCAAGUUUGUGGCUGAGCAGCACUCUGUAUAUGCUGUCUGUUUUAUAGCAGAAAAUCAGGCCCCUUCUCCAGUUGAGCAGCCUGAGCUGCAGCAACUAAUUGACCAAAAUUCUGAUCUAUUUGAGGAACCCAAACAGCUCCCCCAUCGAAGAGACAUUGACCCCGAAUUUCCCUCAAAUAUGGCACUAAACCAAUCAAUGUACGCUCGUACCGGUAUUCCUAUUUUCAGAAAUAUUGAAAGACAAGUGUUUGACAUGCUCAAAAGUGGCCUCAUUCGGCCAAGUACGAGUCCAUUCUCAUCGUUGGUGCUGUUAGUACGCAAAAAGGAAAAGACUUGGUAGUUUUGUACCAAUUACCGAGCCCUCAACAUAGUGACCAUCAAGAACUGUUUCCAUAUUUCGACAGUAUAAGAUAUGUUGGAUGAGCUACAUGGACCUCACUACGGGGUAUCAUCAAGUCCGGGUUGACCCUAAAGACAUACCCAAGACCACGUUCAGAACCCACAAUGGCUAUUAUGAGUAUUUGGUAAUGUCUUUCGGUCUAUGUAUGGUACCCUCUACUUUUCAAGCUAUUAUGAAUUCAAUUUUUCGACCAUACCUAUGGAAGUUUAUUCUGGUUUUCUUUGAUGAUAUUCUAGUCUAUAAUGCAAGCUAGGAAUUGCACCUUGCCCAUGUCCAGUCAGUUUUUGAGGUCUUCAGACAUCAUUAGUUUUUUGUGAAGCUCAAGAAGUGCACAUUCGGGAGUCAAGAGCUAGAAUAUUUCAGCCAUAUCAUUACCUCAGAAGGUGUCAAAAUAGACCAAUGAAAAAUUCAAGCCAUGUUAGGAUGGCUGAGACCUACUACAAUCACAGAGCUUCAAGGUUUUCUAGGACUCACAGGGUAUUAUCCCAAGUUUGUACAGAAUUAUGGAAUAAUGGCUCGUCCUUUCACUAACUUACUCGAAAAGGGGUCCUUCAAUUGAAGCACUGAGGCAGAAACCACCUUCACUGAACUUAAGCAUGCCAUGACCACCCACCCUACUCUAGCACUCCUCAACUUCAAUGAAGCCUUUACCAUCGAAGUUGAUGCAUCCAGAGAAAGAAUUAGGGCAGUCCUCACCCAACAGGGCAAGCUCAUUACGUAUAUAAGCCUUGCUUUAAGAGCAUCCAAGUUAUUGUGGUCCACCUAUGCCAAAGAGUUGCUGGCCAUCAUCGUCGUCAUUCAAACUUGGAGGCUGUAUCUAUUGGGGUGCAAAUUUUUUUAUCAAAACUGAUCAAUGCAGUUUGAAGUACUUGAUGGACGAACGAAUCACCACCCUAUAACAUCAAAAAUAGGUCUCUAAGUUGUUCAGUUAUGAUUAUGAGAUAUUAUAUAAGCCAGACAAAGAAAACCAAGUGGCUAUGCCUUAUCUCGACAACUUCAUAAUCCUAUCAUACAUGCUCUCUUUACUGCCAACACAACUAUAUGGGAUUAGAUCAGAAAGGAAUCCGAAAAUAACCUCUAUGUCCAAAAAAAUUGUAAAAAAAGCAAGAGAAUAACCAGGUCAACCAUAUCAAGAAAAAAAUGGACUAGUAUACUACAAACACCGAGUUAUCAUUCCUCCUACAUCCCGUAUAGUUCGACUGCUUCUAUAAGCUUAUCAUGAUUCUCCUAUGGGCAGUCACUCUGGUAUUCUCUAUACCUAUAAACGAUUAGUGCAGUAAUUCUUUUGGCCUUCCAUGAGACGGACCAUCCAAGAUUAUGUAUGCUGUGUGAGACAUGUCAACGAGCUAAGUCCAAAACUUUGUCUAUAGUUGGGCUCUUACAACCUCUACCGAUUCUGUGUCAGGUAUUGGAUGACAUUACCAUGGAUUUUGUUAAAAGCCUUCCACCUUCCCAGGGUAAAAAUACUAUUUUGGUAGUUAUCGACCGGCAUAGUAAAUCCACUCAUUUCUUAGCAUUAAGUUACUUGUACAUCGCUAAAGGGGUAGCAGAAAAAUUCACUAAAAAAUAUAAUCAAGCUCUGUGGCAUGUCUCGCUCCAUUAUAAGUGAUCGAGACCCUAUUUUCAUUAGUUAUUUUUAAAAAGAAUUCUUUAAACAUUCAAGGACCAAACUGAAGAUGAGCUCGGCCUACCACCCUCAAACUUAUGGUCAAUCAAAGGUAGUCAAUCGAUGUGUCGAAUAAUAUCUCUGAUGCUUUGGACAUCAGUGGCUUAAAAAAUGGUGCUUCUUCUUUCCAUGGGCAAAAUAUUGAUAUAACACCACCUACCACUCAUCCAUUGGCAUGACUCCCUUCCAGGUACUAUAUGGGAGACCGCCACCCACCAUCCCUCACUAUAUGGAAGGUAUGACAGUUGUGAAUGAGGUUGACCAAUAGUUAACUGCCUGAGAUAAACUUCUUAUCAAACUCAAGAAUAACUUAUAUGCAGCACAAAAUCGUAUGAAGCAAUCAGUAGAUAACCGUCAUUACCAUGUGGAGUAUCAAGUUGAUGAUUAGGUUUUUUUACGCCUUCAACUUUACUAACAACAAACCGUAUUCAAGAGGGUUAUCCAAAAAUUGGCUUGCCAUUUCUUUGGGCCAUUUCAGAUCGAAGUAUGAAUUGGGCCAGUGGCAUAUCGCCUUAAGUUACCACCCUCUUCUUGCAUCCAUCCAGUGUUCCACGUCUCCCUUCUCAAAAAAUAAGUUGGAGACCACACAUUCCCCAUCAAAGACCUACCAGCAACAAAUGAAGAUGGAACCGUCAUCCUACAACCCAAAAAAAUUCUGGAUAUCCACUGGCUCAAAAAAGGCACACAAAUAGUAGAAGAAAGCCUAGUUAAAUAGAAGCACCUUCUUGUAGCUGAUGUAACUUGAGAAAAUACAGACGAAUUACGAGACCACUUUCUUAAUUUAAACCUUGAGGACAAGGUUUAUUUUCAAGGGAGAGUGAUGAUAAGCCCCCAUUUAGAAGAUCUAGUCGGGUGCCUAUAAAAAAAUCCCAAGAAUCUCCAGUAACUGCCCACUACCAGCAAAAGAAUCGGUCAACAAAGAAUUCUCAAUGAAUCCAACUACUCCACGAUCUACACUUCCACAAACCCCAGUAUCUCUUAUUGCGUUUAUCCUUUAUAAUUUCUAAUAAUUAUCUAGAAGCAUAGAAGUAGAAAAGUUAGUUAUAAUCUUUUCUAUUUGGGAACUUCAAAAUCAUAAAUUAAAGCAUAUAUUUUUGUAGAACUCUCACUGGUCUUUCUCACCAAAAGGAGAAAUCUUUUACUGUUAUAUUAUGCCUCUAACUAAGACCAACAUAUUUCCUCUAAGUUCAAGUAGUAGGAUGCUAUUUUAUUUUCUUAUGAUAUUUUAGCUUUCACUUUUUGAGGAGGUUCACCCUCUUCUUAACAAUUAUGUGCCAAUUGAAGAAAUUGGUAUUUGCUUAUGCUUGGUAAUUGUGAACAACUCGUUCAAGUUUCAUAGUGUUUGUGAAAGAUAGAUUUGGCAUAGCUAAAUUUGGAUUGCAUGUUCAAUUUAUUUCCUCUUAAGUUACAUGUCUUCAUUACAAGGAAAGCCAUUAGAAGAUACUAAACAAACAUUAAUACUAGCUUGCUGCAAAACUCUAUACUCUCAUUAGCCAUAAUUAUUAUUUUGUUAGCUUUAGUCAAAUAAAAAUGGCAUUUCAAUUACUAUAAGUUAAAUUGUUUUAGGAGGAUAAUCUGUUCAAUUAAUUACUUAAUAAAAAAUUUAUCUACUUAUGAUGCAAUUUUUUUCAUUCAUCAAGCUCUCAAUGUUCUUAUUGUUGUGAUUGUCAAUGCUUGACCUCCUCUUCCUUUUGCAACUCUUGUAUUUUGGGAUAUUCAUAGAUGUAUGCUCUUCUCUUUCAAUGGCCAAUCCUUACACCUGUCUCGUUCACUGGCGGCCCCAAUAAGACAUAAAUCUCCUAAGCCUGGGCCAGUUAUCAUGAUGGUGAAACAAAAUAUUCAAUGCAUUAAGGGAACUGGUGAGCAAACCAUACCAAAUGUGUGCUUAAUAAAGUCCAGAGAUGGUACAAAUGGUGUGGCCAGAUUCAAGUUUAAUCAACCUUAUGUUCUUAAUUCAACUGGAGAAGUUGGUGAUAUCAUUGGUUUUUACAUGACUGAUGAGGAAGGGGUUUUACAAUCAGCUGAUAUAAGUGCCAAAUUUAUUAAGGAAAAGUCUACUGGAAUGGAUGCAAGGUACGUAAUGCGGUCUCCUUGUGAUUGGGACAGAUUCAUGAGAUUUAUGGAGUGAUACUCUAAUGAGAAUGGCUUGAAAUUCAUUAAAAAAUGAGGCAAUUGAUAUCCUUUCGUUUUUAUCAGCCACUUUCAUCUAUAACCUCAAUGGUUUUGUAUAAUUUAGUCAAGUAAAACUUCAUAUGUCUAAUGUUUCAUAUAUAGAGUUGAUACAAAUACCAUA